Molecule: ribosomal RNA, 429 nt
Filed under: Gemmatimonadota bacterium
Lineage: Bacteria; Pseudomonadati; Gemmatimonadota
Description: Gemmatimonadetes bacterium partial 16S ribosomal RNA
Rfam family: Bacterial small subunit ribosomal RNA
Source: RNAcentral
UAGGGAAUCUUCGGCAAUGGACGAAAGUCUGACCGAGCAACGCCGCGUGAGUGAAGAAGGUUUUCGGAUCGUAAAACUCUGUUGUUAGAGAAGAACAAGGACGUUAGUAACUGAACGUCCCCUGACGGUAUCUAACCAGAAAGCCACGGCUAACUACGUGCCAGCAGACGCGGUAAUACGUAGGUGGCAAGCGUUGUCCGGAUUUAUUGGGCGUAAAGCGAGCGCAGGCGGUUUCUUAAGUCUGAUGUGAAAGCCCCCGGCUCAACCGGGGAGAGUCGUUGGAAACUGCGGGACUGGAGUGCAGAAGAGGAGAGUGGAAUUCCAGGUGUAGCGGUGAAAUACGUAGAUAUAUGGAGGAACGCCAGUGGCGAAGGCGGCACUCUGGUCUGUAACUGACGCUGAGGCUCGAAAGCGUAGGGAGCAAACAGG